UAGGAUGUAGUAUAAUGGAAGUAUAAGGAGUUUUGAUCUCUUAGGUGUAGGUUCGAGUCCUAUUUUUCUAA
This 71-nucleotide transfer RNA is filed under the name Trionyx triunguis (African softshell turtle). Its description in RNAcentral is "tRNA-Gln". It matches the Rfam family "tRNA". Rfam says of the family: Transfer RNA (tRNA) molecules are approximately 80 nucleotides in length. Their secondary structure includes four short double-helical elements and three loops (D, anti-codon, and T loops). Further hydrogen bonds mediate the characteristic L-shaped molecular structure. tRNAs have two regions of fundamental functional importance: the anti-codon, which is responsible for specific mRNA codon recognition, and the 3' end, to which the tRNAs corresponding amino acid is attached (by aminoacyl-tRNA synthetases). tRNAs cope with the degeneracy of the genetic code in two manners: having more than one tRNA (with a specific anti-codon) for a particular amino acid; and 'wobble' base-pairing, i.e. permitting non-standard base-pairing at the 3rd anti-codon position. Lineage: Eukaryota; Metazoa; Chordata; Testudines; Trionychidae. The record is from RNAcentral.